Haemorhous mexicanus (house finch) is the source of this 3360-nucleotide long non-coding RNA. RefSeq lists it as uncharacterized. The record is from RefSeq and is a predicted model, not a curated record. Lineage: Eukaryota; Metazoa; Chordata; Aves; Passeriformes; Fringillidae. The transcript has 3 exons.
CUGCCCGCCUGCGCUGCCGGCCUCCCGCUCCUGCCCCGCUGCGGGACGGCGCUCACGGCGCUCAGCAGCGCGCGGGCUUCUCCCCGGAUCCUAGAAUCACGGAAUGGCUUGGAUUGGAAGGGACCUUAAAGAACGUCUCGUUCCCACCUCCCUGCCGUGAGCAGGGACACCUCCCGCUGGACCAGGCUGCUCAGUGCCCCUUCCAGCGUGGCCUUGAACACUGCCAGGGACGGGGCAUCCCUCACCAGUAGCGUUUUCAAAGUACCACCUGCUGCUGAACGUGCCUCGUGGGCACCACUGAAAAGAAAUGGCAUCAUUCGAUACCCUGCAGUGAGUCCUAAUCGAUUAGCCAUGACGGUUUGAAGGAGAAGCAUCUCACCGUGUUCUCUCUCUAGUCUUUGCUUUAACGUGAAGGGCAUUGAGCCCCUUGUUCGUGGAGACGAGGUUCCUCUUUACUACUCCUUUGUCACCAGUGACAUUCCCACUCUCAUCAGAAGUUACACAGUGGCUGUGUUCACAACCAGUCUACCCCAGUGUUGUUAUCUCCAACGUGUCUCCAGGACAUGAAAGAAGUGAACUACCAUAAGCUGAGAGUGGAGGCAGGGAAGUCCAUGCCUCUUAUGCCUGCAAGACCAAAACCAGCUACAACAGUGCCAUUGCAGCUGCAGAAAGUAUCGUGGGAGGCCUUUUCAGCAGGAGUGUGCACUGUGCUGUAGAGCUUGGAACCUGCACAUGACAAAGCUUUUCAUUCAGCAUCAGCCUGAGAAGGGCUGUACUGUCACUGCAUGGCUCUUUAUGCCAAAGGCACGGUAACAGCAGCCAGUCCUGCAACGUGAUAGCAGCCUCCAGCUCCCAAAUCCCCCGUGCCAAGAUGGAGAAAGCCACAGCGGUUCACAUUCCCCAGCAGCCAGAGCUGCAUCUCCCUCACUUCCAGCGGCCUGCCCUGGCCUCACUGCCUCCUCAGAAGCUCUCACAAAGUGGGGUUUGUGGGAGCUGGGCAGCUGUGCCUGGUGCAGGGCAGCAGGGCAGGGCUCAGGAGCAUGGAUGGGCAGGUGGAACAGCUCCGAGAUGUGCCAGCCACAGCCCAGCUGCAGAACCACUCUGACACUGUCAUGUAGGAACCUCCUUUCCCUUCUCCCUCCCCUCUAAGUUCACAACAGAUACUUGGGAUACUGUUUUCAAAGAGAAGAAACCUGAGAGACCUGAGGUGUUAGUUUGGAUCAGGCUUUUUUUCUCAGCAGUACAGGAGAAGACCUUCUCGUUUUCUAGUAGAGCCCUCCCAUAGCAGGGACAGCCUUGGACAGUCAGAGCCCCUGAGGCUACAAACAGGAGAUACACAGGAAAAAUAACACAGACCACAGCUGGCCUCUCAGUGUCACUGCCAGCCCAAACAUCACCAGCCUAUUCAUGGUCAGCAGCCAGCAAGCAGGGGAAGGUAGCACAGAGGUAAUUCAGUGCCUCUCUCCCACGUGGAAGGCUGAGCUGCAGAGUUGAACACAAGAGAUCCCACAUGGAUUACACAGCUUGACCUCGGCCACAGUGAAGACAGAACCCAAAUGGUUUUUGGCAUGGUCACAGGAACAGCUUUCCCCUGGGAGCCUCUUGCAGCUUAGAGCAAGAUGGUCUCCCCAAAUCCCUCUUCAAACUAUGUCUCCUGCUUGCAGACUCCAGGAGGGAAUAGAGGUGGCUGACCCACUCUUCACAGGGUACUGCCAGCUUGCUUCUUAGCUCUGGACCAGCUUCACUGAAGGUAUUCUUAAUUUCCGGCAAUAUGAGAAAAUAUUCUUUGCAAUAUAUUAAAGUCGUUCAUAGAUUUGAUAUUGAAGUAUCUAAAGCCACAAUUUAAAAUAGGAAUAGAAUCAGGCCUGAAAUAAAGGCUGGUCUGUGCAUAUAGUUUUUGUGCUAUUGAGCCAAUAUCAUGUCAAUUAUUAUAAAAAUCAUAUAUUUUUAGUUACAUGUGUUCUUAUUGCCCAUAUUUGAUUGGCAAAGACGAAAUAUUGUUAGAGUACUAUUUGCUUUGUCAUUUAUAUACCUUCAGCAUUUUUACAGUGUAAGAAUUCCAGGCAGUUGACAGCUGACAUAUUAUUAUUCAGUACAGAGAUGAGAUAUUGAAUCUCAUCAUGGUAAAGAAAAGUAUGUGCAAGAAAGCUAAAUUAGUCUUGUGUCUGAGCAGUGUAUCUCAGUGAGACUCAGAAAAGUGUGGUACUGCUCCUACCUGUGCUACAUUUGCUCUGCAGCCCUGCAGAUUAUUGAGUAGUAGUAAAAGGAAACAUUUUCCAAUCAUACUGCAGUCCUGUGAGGUACAGGCAAUCUCCUGUGAGAUAUAGUCAAUCUCUUGUGAGAUUGUUGGGCACUGAGAUGUUCUGAAAGGGUGAAGGGGGUCAAAUAUAAAAAAAAAAAAAAAAAAAAAAAAAAAAAAAAAGAAAUACAUCUCUGCAUAGGCAGAGUUCAAGCUCUCUUCACUGGUUCAACCUGCCUCCUGUCUGAGCAUUACCACUGAAGAGCUCAGAUUUGCAUGCAUGGAUCCUCCUGGACAUAUCCUGUGUCUCCCCUUGCCUGCAUGGAUCCUCCUGGACAUAUCCUGUGUCUCCCCUUGUCAUGAAGCACUGCAGGACAAAGCAAUAGAUGCAGCCCUUCCUGUUUACUACUCUGGGUGUGGUACAUCAACUGCUCCUGGCCCUAAUAUUAGAAAAACAAUUGGAAUUGGGCCACAGGAUGUGUAGCUACUCUCUUGUUCUUGGUCAGUUAGAUGUUUACAAAUAUUUCCUACAAUACCAUUCCAAUUCUGCUCAUAACUAAUAUUUCAUUCUCUUCUGUUCAGGUGCAGGAACAGUGCAGUGAAAUUCAGGAUUAGUUCUGUCCUGAAAAAUCCCAGCUAGAGACAAAAGUUUUACAAAAGAUUGCCAUUCUACAUUAAAACUUCCACGGAUGUCUGGUCGUUUUGCUUUAUCAAGCUAUUAAAAGUGUCCAUGUCUUGUAGCCUUGCAGGAACCUCAAAGGGAUCAGGUGAAGCAUUUCAAACUAGGAUGGCUCAAAAACAAAGCUCUUGUUCCUGUAAUCCCUGGGUUUGUAGUGAAUAUGUACCCUCCUUCCUAGCAAGCAGACAAGCAUUUUUGAACAGUUGUAUUUCUGAACACUGUUGUACUUAGCACUUAGUUUAAAGAAUAAACAUUUGUCAAGACUUGCCUUCUCUAAAACUGUGCAUUUAAAGGGAGGAAUAUUUCUCAUGCAUUGGUUAUAAUUUAAUGAACAUGCCAUGCAGUUAAUUUGAAGGAGUAAGAAUUGUUCAGAUAUCCUGGUUUGGGUUUUUUUUGUUUUGGUUUUUGGGAGCUUUGAUUUUUUGGUUGGUUGGUUUUUUGG